GCCUGGCUAGCUCAAUCGGUAGAGCAUUUGACUCUUAGAAUUAGUUAAAAGUCAUCAAAAGGUUGCGGGUUCGAGCCCCGCGUUGGGCU
This 89-nucleotide transfer RNA is filed under the name Candida dubliniensis CD36. It matches the Rfam family "tRNA". From Rfam's summary of the family: Transfer RNA (tRNA) molecules are approximately 80 nucleotides in length. The record is from RNAcentral. Lineage: Eukaryota; Fungi; Ascomycota; Pichiomycetes; Serinales; Debaryomycetaceae.